Molecule: ribosomal RNA, 213 nt
Filed under: Rhodanobacter sp. enrichment culture clone AYS5
Lineage: Bacteria; Pseudomonadati; Pseudomonadota; Gammaproteobacteria; Lysobacterales; Rhodanobacteraceae
Description: partial 16S ribosomal RNA
Rfam family: Bacterial small subunit ribosomal RNA
Source: RNAcentral
AAGCCGAUCCCAGUCCGGAUUGGAGUCUGCAACUCGACUCCAUGAAGUCGGAAUCGCUAGUAAUCGCGGAUCAGCUAUGCCGCGGUGAAUACGUUCCCGGGCCUUGUACACACCGCCCGUCACACCAUGGGAGUGGGUUGCUCCAGAAGGCGUUAGUCUAACCGCAAGGAGGACGACGCCCACGGAGUGGUCCAUGACUGGGGUGAAGUCGUA